Molecule: long non-coding RNA, 1016 nt
Organism: Limulus polyphemus (Atlantic horseshoe crab)
Lineage: Eukaryota; Metazoa; Arthropoda; Merostomata; Xiphosura; Limulidae
Exons: 3
Source: RefSeq, a predicted model, not a curated record
ACUAUUCGGAAGAGAGAGAAAACACACACACACACAUGUAUGAAUCUCCAUAAAGAUAUUUUUAUAUCAAAAAUUACUACAAAAUGUAUUACUUUCCUUGUCACAGGAUAAUUACCUAAUUAAAAAUGUCGAAAUUUCGCCUGAAGUAAGAAAAUGAAGAAAAGGAAUUCAAGGUGAAAAGGUUUUUCCUCUUCAAACAAUCAGCAGAUUCCCUGAGAAUAAGAAACAUUAGUCGAGACUUCUACAUCAUUGAAAAAAGAUACAAAACGUAGUUUCCUUGUUUAAGAAAAUCGCCAACUUAAUAUGAGAGACGAAAGAAUAAAGAAAAAUUAAGUUCUAUUUGCUGUAGCAUUUUUUUUCCAUUGCACAGCACAUAAAAUAACUGAUUAUAUCAACUGUUCGUUUAUCAUGCCUACUUAGUUUUUAUUAUGUAAGAUAGCCUCUGUCUGCAUAGACUUGCACAAAAUGUUUCUGUGGUAGUUGUUUUCGAUAUCACCAUCAAAUUACUUUUUUUUUCUCCAAUAUAAUGCUGUGGCUUUAGUCAUCUGUUGUGAAGAGUAAUUGGAACAAAUUUAUAAACUAAACUAGUUUGUUGAAUAGUGAUUCAAAUUAUGUUUUGGUAUGGUAAGCGUAAAUGUGUUUAGUGGAUAGUAACCAAAUGAUAAAAAAUCAGAGCAUAAGUAUUUCGGUAAAAAGAGAAACAGUAAUAUAUUGUUUCUAUUUUAUUUUUGGUUAUCUUAAUAAAAAGGAUAAAUACUCUAAUGAACGAACAUCAAUUCACGAGUGGAUUCUGCCUUUACGUUGUUAUUUUGUUUCUUUUCCUAACGUAAAGACAAAUCUCCGUAACUGUAAAAUGUAAUAAAUCAACCAUAGAGGGAGAUGCAACACUCAGCUGUCGCUGUCUUAAGGAAGGGGACGUUAAUCUAUAAUCUUUUAUUAAUUGUUAUUUAAACUGCAAUCUCUGCUCCAUACGUAAUAGGAAUAAUAAGAAAUUAGUUUUUGAAAUGUUAGUUAUA